This 371-nucleotide ribosomal RNA is filed under the name uncultured Thauera sp. RNAcentral's name for it is "bacterial SSU rRNA". It matches the Rfam family "Bacterial small subunit ribosomal RNA", at positions 1011 to 1382 of the family's 1533-position model. The record is from RNAcentral. Lineage: Bacteria; Pseudomonadati; Pseudomonadota; Betaproteobacteria; Rhodocyclales; Zoogloeaceae.
GAAGUUACUUCGGUACAUCGGUGACAGGUGGUGCAUGGUUGUCGUCAGCUCGUGUCGUGAGAUGUUGGGUUAAGUCCCGCAACGAGCGCAACCCUAUUGUUAGUUGCCAUCAUUCAGUUGGGCACUCUAGCGAGACUGCCGGUAUAAACCGGAGGAAGGUGGGGAUGACGUCAAGUCCUCAUGGCCCUUAUGGGUAGGGCGUUCACACGUCAUACAAUGGUCGGUACAGAGGGUUGCCAAGCCGCGGAGGUGGAGCCAAAUCCCUUAAAGCCGAUCGUAGUCCGGAUCGUAGUCUGCAACUCGACUACGUGAAGUCGGAAUCGCUAGUAAUCGCAGAUCAGCAUGCUGCGGUGAAUACGUUCCCGGGUCUU